Molossus molossus (Pallas's mastiff bat) is the source of this 491-nucleotide long non-coding RNA. RefSeq lists it as uncharacterized. NCBI's taxonomy places the organism in Eukaryota, Metazoa, Chordata, Mammalia, Chiroptera, Molossidae. The record is from RefSeq and is a predicted model, not a curated record. The transcript is spliced from 3 exons.
GUGGUCGCCUUGAAAACAACAGCCCGUGUUCCUCCUACUGGUACCAGCACCAGAGGGAGCAGGCUGAACUCAGCACACAUCUUAAUGAUUUGUUUUGAACUCUGGUGGCUCCUUGGAAGACUGGCCCUUGUGUUCAUUGCUUUCAUCUCAGAACUCCCAGUGCUGAAGUGGCUGUGGGCAUUCGUGAUGGCAGAGCUGUCCCUGGACACUGGACACAGCCAGCUGCCUCCUUGCCAUGGCUGUCCUAGGAGCUCAGCCUUGCUACCACCACCAACAUGGCCACCAGAAAAGCAUCCUGCAUCCUUCUCCUCCUACAACACCAGCUCCCAUUUCAAGGUCUAGGGUGCCGGGGGUCAAGAAAGAGAAUAAAAUCUGAUUCCUGCCUUUUAAGAACUUUGCAUCUGUGUAGAUAAAUACACGGCGCAUUAAAUGUAAUACAAGCUUCAGCAGCAGCAGUCUUAGAAGUUAUUGGAAGUAGAAGGAACUUGAGA